Long non-coding RNA from Oreochromis niloticus (Nile tilapia), 417 nucleotides. RefSeq lists it as uncharacterized. Lineage: Eukaryota; Metazoa; Chordata; Actinopteri; Cichliformes; Cichlidae. The record is from RefSeq and is a predicted model, not a curated record. The transcript has 3 exons.
AGGCUUCCCACCUGACCUCCUACACGACCUGUUUGAAGGUGUCGUUCCAGUGGAGUUGGCACAUUGUUUAAAAGUGUCUGACUAAAGAAACAGAACUGAGACAUCAGCUGAUUCCACCAAUUUGUGAACCAAUGUAAAGAAAUAAAAAAUUCAGAUGGAGGCAACAGGAAUAUUGAAGCUAAGGGUCAUCCUUGAUAAGGAUAACGCUGAAAAACUUAUUUUGCCAUCUCGUCCAAACAGUGUGCAAGCCCUCAUAGAUGAGAUCAAAUCUAGGCUAAAUUUUACCUUUGACUUUCGGCUUCAGUUUCAUGACCCAGAUUUUGAUAAUGCCUUGUGUAAUUUGGUUAAAAUAGAAGACCUGCCAGCUAUAGCAUCUGUUAAAGUUGUCAGGUUAGUUGAGCUGGACCGGAUUUCAAC